Molecule: ribosomal RNA, 417 nt
Filed under: uncultured Desulfobulbus sp.
Lineage: Bacteria; Pseudomonadati; Thermodesulfobacteriota; Desulfobulbia; Desulfobulbales; Desulfobulbaceae
Description: bacterial SSU rRNA
Rfam family: Bacterial small subunit ribosomal RNA
Source: RNAcentral
UUACCUGGUCUUGACAUCCCGGAGACCCUUAGGAAACUAGGGGUGCUUCCAUCUGGAAGAAUCUGGAGGACAGGUGCUGCAUGGCUGUCGUCAGCUCGUGUCGUGAGAUGUUGGGUUAAGUCCCGCAACGAGCGCAACCCUUGCCUUUAGUUGCCAGCAGUUCGGCUGGGCACUCUAAAGGGACUGCCGGUGUUAAACCGGAGGAAGGUGGGGAUGACGUCAAGUCCUCAUGGCCUUUAUGACCAGGGCUACACACGUACUACAAUGGCCGAUACAAAGGGCAGCGACACUGCGAGGUGAAGCCAAUCCCGUAAAAUCGGUCUCAGUCCGGAUUGGAGUCUGCAACUCGACUCCAUGAAGUUGGAAUCGCUAGUAAUCGUGGAUCAGCAUGCCACGGUGAAUACGUUCCCGGGCCUU